Molecule: non-coding RNA, 49 nt
Filed under: Parahoeflea olei
Lineage: Bacteria; Pseudomonadati; Pseudomonadota; Alphaproteobacteria; Hyphomicrobiales; Rhizobiaceae
Description: Hoeflea olei Guanidine-II sequence
Rfam family: Guanidine-II riboswitch aptamer (mini-ykkC)
About the family: Simpler in structure and has fewer highly conserved nucleotide positions than the ykkC-yxkD leader. Despite this each of its two stem-loop structures directly bind free guanidine.
Source: Rfam by way of RNAcentral
CGGAGAGGACGACCUCCCCCUUUCGGGAUGACAAGCCGGGACGACCCGG